Molecule: ribosomal RNA, 253 nt
Filed under: uncultured bacterium
Lineage: Bacteria
Description: partial 16S ribosomal RNA
Rfam family: Bacterial small subunit ribosomal RNA
Source: RNAcentral
CACGUAGGGGGCAAGCGUUGUCCGGAUUUAUUGGGCGUAAAGAGCUCGUAGGCGGCUCAGUAAGUCGGGUGUCAAAUCCUCAGGCUCAACCUGGGGCUCCACCCGAUACUGCUGUGGCUAGAGUCCGGUAGGGGAGCGUGGAAUUCCUGGUGUAGCGGUGAAAUGCGCAGAUAUCAGGAGGAACACCAGCGGCGAAGGCGGCGCUCUGGGCCGGAACUGACGCUGAGGAGCGAAAGCGUGGGUAGCAAACAGG